GGCCAGCAUGGUGUAGUGGUUUGAGUAUUGGACUAUGACUCUGGAAAGCAGGGUUUGAAUCCCUGCUUGGCCA
Molecule: transfer RNA, 73 nt
Filed under: Phrynosoma platyrhinos (Desert horned lizard)
Lineage: Eukaryota; Metazoa; Chordata; Lepidosauria; Squamata; Phrynosomatidae
Description: tRNA-OTHER
Source: RNAcentral